GAGGAAACUUGUGCUAAUACCUCAUAAGUCUUUACGGAGAAAGCUUUAUGUGCCGAAGGAUGAGCCUGCACUUGAUUAGCUAGUUGGUAAGGUAAAAGCUUACCAAGGCAACGAUCAAUAGCUGUUCUUAGAGGAAGACCAGCCACAUUGGGACUGAGACACGGCCCAGACUCCUACGGGAGGCAGCAGUGGGGAAUCUUGCACAAUGGGGGAAACCCUGAUGCAGCGAUGCCGCGUGAGUGAAGAAGGCCCUUGGGUUGUAAAACUCUUUCGUCGGGGAAGAAAAUGACUGUACCCGAAUAAGAAGGUCCGG
RNAcentral lists this ribosomal RNA (313 nucleotides) under uncultured bacterium. RNAcentral's name for it is "bacterial SSU rRNA". It matches the Rfam family "Bacterial small subunit ribosomal RNA", at positions 150 to 496 of the family's 1533-position model. The record is from RNAcentral.